AUCCAGAUGAAGAGUCCCAAAUAGAACGAAGUACGCGUUGUCCUGGAU
Molecule: non-coding RNA, 48 nt
Filed under: Trichobilharzia regenti
Lineage: Eukaryota; Metazoa; Platyhelminthes; Trematoda; Strigeidida; Schistosomatidae
Source: RNAcentral